Mauremys reevesii (Reeves's turtle) is the source of this 1149-nucleotide long non-coding RNA. RefSeq lists it as uncharacterized. Lineage: Eukaryota; Metazoa; Chordata; Testudines; Geoemydidae. The transcript has 2 exons. The record is from RefSeq and is a predicted model, not a curated record.
UACACAGGCAUGCACCCUUCCCUCUGAAAGUCUCAGGAAUUUUUGAAAUUCCUCUUCCUAUUUGCUCCGGGUGGAGAGCUCACAUAGCAACUGCCCAGCUGACUAUGCCAGCUCCCUGCCACAAAUGUGCUCUUGCCUGGAGUGAGGUGGCAGAUGUGCUGGGACUGUGGGGAGAGGUCACAGCUUCAUUGCAGCCAUAGGAAGUUUGAUACCUACGGGCAGAUUGCUCAUGGCAUGGAGGACAAGGUGUAUGAUAGGGACAUAUAGCAGUGCCGUGCAAAGAUCAAGGAGCCGAGGCAGGUGUAUCAGAAGGCAAGGGAGGCCAAUAGUUGUUCUGGUGCAUUGCCAAAGGCACGCCACUUCUACAAGGAACUGCAUGCCACCCUCCAUGGCAACCCCACCUCUGCCAAGAGCCCCAUGGACACUUCAGGUGGAGGGGAGGCUGGAGACAACAGCUAGUUAAGUGACCCCGAGGAUGAGGUGGUGGACAAGGAAGUGGAGUUGGAGGAGCAUGGGGGACAGACAACAGGGAUCUCUGGUGCCAUGGCACACCAGGACCUCUGGAGGGGUCUAGCUAGUCCUAGCACUCCGGCUCUGGUGCGCUUGAUGCAGGAGAGGGAAGGUCCGCAUAUGUAGAUGUGCCCUUGAGGGUCUCCUCCUGCACACCAGCUGACAAGGAGACGAAACAAGAGGAGUAAGGAAGACAUGUUCUGGGACAUGCUGCAAUCCUCUUGUGCUUCAGAUUGCGAGCAGAGCGCAUGGAGAGAGAGAGGCUAUCAAUGAGAAACUGCGAAUGGAUAGCCAGGAUAGGAAACGGGCAGGAGCCCGUUAUAUAUAGGAUAUAGGAUCAAACAGACAUGCAAAAAUCUCCGACUGAACUUCAAGCGGAACCCAUCUGUGCUCGUCUCCCCCUGCAGCUCAUACAUGGCUUCCAUGCCCUGCCUACGCACCCCCCCUCCACAUUCCUUGCAUGUUGCCGGGCCAUCGCAGUACCCCAUGCACUCCACCCUGAGGGGUGUAUUUCACAACGGCAGCUGGACAUACCCCCAACUCUAAGAGCCUCAUUGGCAAAUGUGCUCUUGAUUUGUAUGUUCUGAAGGCACAUAGAAAUGUUUGCAUCUGCGUUUAAUAAAAAUGUACUUAUGGAAA